Molecule: long non-coding RNA, 1580 nt
Filed under: Amphibalanus amphitrite
Lineage: Eukaryota; Metazoa; Arthropoda; Thecostraca; Balanomorpha; Balanidae
Description: uncharacterized LOC122387034
Source: RNAcentral
CUUAACUUGUAGAUAAUGCCGUAUAUACUUGCCGUGUAUGCUGUUGUAUUUUGCACGUUAUUUUGGACAAGAUUUUUCUGAUUUUAGAUUUCAUUUUGACAAAAAUGCUGUAGAUAGGUUGACGGGACUGAUAAUGAAAGGUUACGCCAAUGUUCUGCGCAUACAGUUGCUGCUUUUUGGUGCGCACACACCCCAGGCACUCCAUCUCGUCAACGCCUGAGAAGUUGGUGAAAGUGCCUCCUGCCAGACUUGCUGGAUGGCUACUACCUACACUUGCUAGCUGAACUGAAGCUCCUCCAACUAGCUGGCAUGGCUCUCGGCAGGUUGGCUUACGCGUGGAACGCUGCAGACGCAAUCAUCGCCAGCCUCACACAUGUCGAAAAUCAGGCAGACUACAUCAGCUGCUCACUGAUAUGGGGCAAAGAAGGUAUGGCGUGGCAGAGGCUUGUCUGCUCACCGUGUGUGGAAUACAGAGAUAUAAGCUCCUAGAUAAUUAAACAAGUUCUGUGGACUGCUUUCUCAGGUAUUUAUUUGCUUGCUAGAUAUGUGAUUUGAUUUUCAUCAUGGACGUUUGCAAUCUUGUGUACCGAUGAAACCAAGUCUUAGCAUAAAAGUUCGCCAUUGUGUGCCUGUGGCCGGCUUUGUCAUUUGUAUUGCAGGUAACUAUGCUUUGUGGUUUCUGAGUUCUGAACACAUUAUCCUCCACCAGGCUCGUUGCUGGCGGUGGUUCUGGAGACAACGGUUCGAUCCAUCUGUAGGACGUCACCUGCAGGAAGUAGCAUUGUGAUGGCCAGCCACGUGGUGCGUGUAUCCAGCCACGUUGUCCAGAAACCAUCACAUCAUCUCCAGGUCACUGGUCGCGGGUGCUCGAGCUGACUGUGUCUUCAACGGCUCCACGGUGACCAGCGCCGCCACCGCCGAGACCAUCCGAUUCCUGAAAUGAUAAUGGCCGUACACGAACAAGAGGCUCUAUGCAUCCAGGUGCAAGUCAAGCGCCAUGCUCAGAGGCGUCAUCCGGAGAAGGCCGCACAGUGCACUUUAGGCUGAGCUCGGGUGUAGUGCGCGCUGACGGAUAGGAUGAAAUUACGGGCCGGCCAUCAGAUUUCAGUGCGGGGAUCAAGAUGGUCGGAGCCGACGUGGCUCGGUUGAUGGUGUGUCAGGGUCGAUUGAGAGUGGAGGCGAGACACCCGGAUGUGAAGGAUACGCCGAUACGGGUCUCGACGUCGUCUCGCAAUUUGUGCUAUGUAAUAUGACGGCUAUGCCGUGGUAUCAUUCACUCUCGAUGCGCUAAUAAGUAAUAAAUAGGACAGAGACUGGAAUUAAGAUUAUUAUAUUUGGAUGUAAGGGGAAGGUUUUGGCCAGCGCUAUAUUAGAAAUCGUGAGCGUGCUAGUUGCAAUCAAUCGCGCGCUUCUUGCUGAGCAUCUGUGAGCGAGAAAAUACUUUCUCUGGAACGUUCGUCGUAAAAUGUGUAUCUUUGGAAUAAGUUGUCAGAACAUGAAUGAAUUUUUGGUGUCCACUGCAGCUGCUGUUCUGGAACAGAAACAUGCCGAGAUCGGCUGUGUAUGUACUAUGUACGCUG